UCCUCGGUAGCUCAGCGGUAGAGCAUUCGACUGUUAAUCGAAUGGUCGUAGGUUCGAAUCCUACCCGGGGAGCCA
RNAcentral lists this transfer RNA (75 nucleotides) under Glacieibacterium frigidum. RNAcentral describes it as "Sandarakinorhabdus sp. LB1R16 tRNA-Asn". It matches the Rfam family "tRNA". Rfam says of the family: Transfer RNA (tRNA) molecules are approximately 80 nucleotides in length. The record is from RNAcentral. Lineage: Bacteria; Pseudomonadati; Pseudomonadota; Alphaproteobacteria; Sphingomonadales; Sphingosinicellaceae.